CAGAAGGUGGUCUAAAUUUAAGAGGAUGAUCUUAGCUUUGGGGGUUAAGGAUGGGGGUUAGAGUCCCCCCUUUCUGA
RNAcentral lists this transfer RNA (77 nucleotides) under Muraenesox cinereus (daggertooth pike conger). RNAcentral describes it as "tRNA-Pro". It matches the Rfam family "tRNA". From Rfam's summary of the family: Transfer RNA (tRNA) molecules are approximately 80 nucleotides in length. Their secondary structure includes four short double-helical elements and three loops (D, anti-codon, and T loops). Lineage: Eukaryota; Metazoa; Chordata; Actinopteri; Anguilliformes; Muraenesocidae. The record is from RNAcentral.